GUUCUCUGUAUCAUCAUUCUCAUGGGGAGUCAGGCAUUAGACCAGCUGUGCUUCUCCUGCUGUCCUUUAAAUAAAGAUUGGUAUGUGUUCAUUUCCAGCUCUAGAGCUAUGUCUGUGUUGUGUCACAAUCUAUAGAACUCACAUGUAAAGCACAGUCCUUCAGAGACUAGUAACAGCUCUACAAUGUGCUUAUUCUUCCAUGGGUAAGAUACCCUCUUGUCCAUGCUAUAGGGAAAGAAAAAAGGAGAAGGAAAAUAACACUUACUGAGCUUGAUGGAUGUGUUCAAUCUGCCCUCAGCCCCACUUUCCAUCCUUCUCCACCCUGCUCCAUGGCUCACCUCCUGUGACCUUAGUGGACUUUCUUACCAAAUGGCUUCAAGCUGGGUUUGGCCAAUAGAGGACCCUGGAGGAAUUGGAAGGAGACAAGGAGAAAAGGAUGGAAGCUGCCCUAUUCAUUUCCCGAUACCUCAGAGGUUGCCAAGGGCUGACCACAUCUCUCCACAGAAGGUCUCAGCAGCUCUCUGGUAUGCCCGCUUAUCCAAUCAGCAGGAGGGGCAGGAUCACGUGGACUCCAGAUCCCAUCAGUGUGAGGAGGAAGGGAUGCUCUACCAUGAACAAAUGUGCAUAUCAGAGCACAGAUUCCUGCAUUGCCCAGCAUCUCUGAAAUUACAGGAUUCCCAGGAGGGAGGACCUGAUUGAGGUGAACGUUCACCGUCCAAAAUACAGCUUUCCCACUGAAGAGGAUGCUUCCCACAGGUCUUUUCCAGGAAGAACCCAAAGAGGGCUGCCAUUGCUCUGGGCCAUUUCCUCUCCAAUCAGCUGACGGCGGCACAGAGGUGCUGAGGGUGAAGUGCUAAUCCUAAACCUCUGUGCACAGUGAUGACUGCAACCAAGAGGCUGGAAGCCGCCACAGACAUGUUUGUUUUGAUUAGCACAAUAUCGGCUCAUACAUUAUUAUUAUUUUUAUAAUGCUCAAUCAACAGUUUUACAUAGGGAGAUUUCAUGUAAAAAUCCAGAUUUCCAGCUUCUCUUGAAAAACCAGAAUAUUAGAAAACACCAACUACAGUCAACAGGGACUGAGUAGUGGCUGACCCCUUUAAAAGGCGCCUGAGCUCUCCAGUUCACCAUAGUCCCUGAAUCUCCCUAAUGUCAACUAGCUUCACUCAUUUAUUUACGUGCCUGACUUUUGCAGGCACGUGAGUUGGCAAACACUAAAAUAAGUAAUGUGCACUUUUCUCAAAAGGGAGUUUAUGAUGUGGCAGGCACUUAAAAAGUCACUGACUAUAGGAUGUCACAAUUUUGAGUUCAGAAACUGUGCCUACUAUAAUUCCACUGCUGCUGGCAGCCCCUGGAACAACCUUAAGAUAGCCUCGGAACACAGCUAGCCAGCGUCCCUGCUAGCUGCUGCCUAAAAGGCAAGAGAUCGUUUACUCUAUCAUGAUGGCCUGACUGGGCUUGACGUGAUCAUUUAAAAAAGGAUAAAGAGGGCGGGCCGAGGGCCAAGUGAUUAAGCUCACACACUCUGCUUCGGUGGUCCAGGGUUUCGCCAGUUCAGAUCCCAGGUGCAGACAUGGCACCACUCAUUGAGCCAUGCUGAGGUUGUGUCCCACAUGCCACAACUAGAAGGACUCACAACUAAAAAUGUACAACUAUGUACCGAUGGGCUUUGGGGGAGAAAAAGGAAAAGUAAAAUCUUUAAUAAAAUAAAAAGGAUAAGGAGAGAACAAUGGCUUCUAGACGUUGGACCAAUCCCAUCCCACAUCUUAGGUCAUCCUUCUCUGCCCUAAUAAUGCCUAUUACAAAACACAGUCAUAAUAGGAUCUCCUUGGCAAGCUACCUGCUCCUUCUGGUUAUCGGCUGGCCCAGAGGAGUGGAUAUCUCAUGCUGGUAAAAUUGGGCACUCUCACUCUUUAAACUAGUAUGUUUGUGCUUUGGUGCUACAGCACCCAAACACAUUUUACAGGCCAAACUGGCGUCCACCUACCUGCCAAUCAUACGACCUUGGGAGAAGCAUUGCUACGGUGUCCUACCUUAAAGAAGAUGGUGAAGAAGGUAAAAUGGGAACAGCAGAGAAGGGACAGAAAGUAUAGUUGUUAACAGCGUGGAUGUCGAUGGUACAGCAGCUAAGGUUGUGCCAGUCCCAGAACCCCAUGACCUCAGGGGCUAUAUCCCCUGCUCACCUCUGCAUCUCCAAGUCCCAAGACAGGGCCUGACACACGGUAGACACUCAAGAAAGAAAGAAUGGAAGAAGGUCAUUGAGAGAAAGGACACAAGAAAGGUGAAAGGAAGGAAGAAUGCCGAGAGGGAAGAAGGAAUGAGAGACUGGAAGAGGAGCAAAGAAACUUGAAGAGCAUUGUCUUCACUGGUAAUAAAAAGCAGAAACCAUAUUUAUGAUAUUUAGACAUGGUUCUGUGGGGAACUGGUCUUGGCCACGCCAAGAUGUCUCUUUGGCAUGAGAAUUAUUGGGCUGGUUGCUUUUGAUAAACUGGGACAGGGAAGGAGGCUCUGAGGGGUGGAACUUGCUUGCCCUUUCUUAAGAGACAUUUACAAUGUAAAAGAAAUCUCUAUCUGUAAAGGUACCUCCAUCUCUGUACCAGGAAGAAGAAAGGGGAUGACCUUCUCUCUAGAAACUCUUAAUCAAUACCAAAGGCAAGGACUUAAAUCUGCAUAAUAAUCUUAUUCCUGUUUCUGGUAACCUCCUGUAACUGACUCCCCCCACCCGCAACAUCCUCCUUUGUCUUUAGCUGGAUAUGAUAUUUAAGUGGGGGCUUCAGCCAUUUUGGUGAGUUGCUCAGCUUGCCCAAGCCUCUCCCAUGUAUACAUGUUAUAAAGCUUUGUUUAAUUUUCUCCUGCUAUUCUGUCUCAUGUGAAUUUAAU
Long non-coding RNA from Equus caballus (horse), 2877 nucleotides. The record is from Ensembl. NCBI's taxonomy places the organism in Eukaryota, Metazoa, Chordata, Mammalia, Perissodactyla, Equidae.